CCUACGGGAGGCAGCAGUGAGGAAUAUUGGUCAAUGGUCGGGAGACUGAACCAGCCAAGCCGCGUGAGGGAUGAAGGUACAGAGUAUCGUAAACCUCUUUUGUCAGGGAACAAAGGCGGGGACGUGUCCCCGGAUGAGUGUACCUGAAGAAAAAGCAUCGGCUAACUCCGUGCCAGCAGCCGCGGUAAUACGGAGGAUGCGAGCGUUAUCCGGUUUGAUUGGGUUUAAAGGGUGCGCAGGCGGUCUGUUAAGUCAGCGGUCAAAGCCCGGGGCCAAACCCCGGCCCGCCGUUGAAACUGGCAGUCUCGAGUUGGAGAGAGGUAUGCGGAAUGCGCGGUGUAGCGGUGAAAUGCAUAGAUAUCGCGCAGAACUCCGAUUGCGAAGGCAGCAUGCCGGCUCCACACUGACGCUGAGGCACGAAAGCGUGGGUAUCGAACAGGAUUAGAUACCCGGGUAGUC
This 459-nucleotide ribosomal RNA is filed under the name uncultured bacterium. Its description in RNAcentral is "partial 16S ribosomal RNA". It matches the Rfam family "Bacterial small subunit ribosomal RNA", at positions 338 to 795 of the family's 1533-position model. The record is from RNAcentral.